UACGAAGGGGGCGAGCGUUGUUCGGAUUUACUGGGCGUAAAGGGCGCGCAGGCGGCUAUCCAAGUCAGGCGUGAAAGCCCCGGGCUUAACCUGGGAGGUGCGUCUGGGACUGGGUGGCUAGAGUUCGGGAGAGGAGAGUGGAAUUCCCAGUGUAGAGGUGAAAUUCGUAGAUAUUGGGAAGAACACCGGUGGCGAAGGCGGCUCUCUGGACCGAGACUGACGCUGAGGAGCGAAAGCGUGGGGAGCGAACAGG
RNAcentral lists this ribosomal RNA (253 nucleotides) under uncultured bacterium. RNAcentral's name for it is "partial 16S ribosomal RNA". It matches the Rfam family "Bacterial small subunit ribosomal RNA", at positions 524 to 776 of the family's 1533-position model. The record is from RNAcentral.